Molecule: ribosomal RNA, 508 nt
Filed under: uncultured bacterium
Lineage: Bacteria
Description: partial 16S ribosomal RNA
Rfam family: Bacterial small subunit ribosomal RNA
Source: RNAcentral
AUUGAACGCUGGCGGCAUGCCUUACACAUGCAAGUCGAACGGCAGCGGGGGAGAAGCUUGCUUUUCCUGCCGGCGAGUGGCGAACGGGUGAGUAAUACAUCGGAACGUGCCCUGUAGUGGGGGAUAACUAGUCGAAAGAUUAGCUAAUACCGCAUACAACCUGAGGGUGAAAGUGGGGGACCGCAAGGCCUCAUGCUAUAGGAGCGGCCGAUGGCUGAUUAGCUAGUUGGUGGGGUAAAGGCCUACCAAGGCGACGAUCAGUAGCUGGUCUGAGAGGACGAUCAGCCACACUGGGACUGAGACACGGCCCAGACUCCUACGGGAGGCAGCAGUGGGGAAUUUUGGACAAUGGGCGAAAGCCUGAUCCAGCAAUGCCGCGUGUGUGAAGAAGGCCUUCGGGUUGUAAAGCACUUUUGUCCGGAAAGAAAUGGCUCUGGCUAAUACCUGGGGUCGAUGACGGUACCGGAAGAAUAAGGACCGGCUAACUACGUGCCAGCAGCCGCGGUAA